Molecule: long non-coding RNA, 1051 nt
Organism: Myxocyprinus asiaticus (Chinese sucker)
Lineage: Eukaryota; Metazoa; Chordata; Actinopteri; Cypriniformes; Catostomidae
Exons: 4
Source: RefSeq, a predicted model, not a curated record
UUUGUCUCUAACAAGCCUCAUUGCCUUAGACUGAGCAGCUGCAGCCCCUGGAUGGCGGUCUCAUGCGAGCCAGCUACAUCAACUUCAGCUUUCCUUAUUUUAAUACAUGAAGCCUUUAUUUUCGCUCACGAUUAUUUACAAAUGGACGGUUAUCUCACUCGGACGAUUAGCCAAAUGCGAGAGGAGACGCUACAAGAUUCGUGAGUGAAAGAAAGCAUGGAAAGAGAAUGCAGCAGGAAGUCACACUCUACACACGCUGGCAGAAAGGAGGAACAUUAGGUAGCUGCGGUUUUCCUUCCAUUCUCACACUCGCUCUGCACAGCGUCAAGGAACCCACGCUGAUGACGUGUGAUUGUCUGCGCGAACAAGUUGCGUGGCGGUAUGCAAAUAUAGAUUGACAGACAGGAAGGACAUCCUAUCAUUACAUUCGGACCGAAUGCUCAUUUUUUAAUCCUGUCCCUUCCACAGAAGAUAUAUAUAUAUUUUUUUACAUUUAGACCACUUAAAUUAUAUAUUGCUAUCAGGAUGUGAAGAGACUUUCAACCAGUACAACAAAAACAUUUCUGAAAAAGAUUGCACACCCUAGCUUUAUGAGGGCCGUCCAUGCGGGAGACAGUAGAGAUGUGCAGAGGUGAAGGCUGCGCUUCCGUCCUUGAGGGAACCCAUUUAAACAGCACUUUGAAUGUGAAGCUAGACAGCACUGGGAGUCAUCUCACCGACUGGUGCUGUAUGCGAGAGAGGAAGUCCUGAUGGAGAUGGAGGGAGUGAGAAAUAGAGAGAGGACGAGGGAAAGCCCAUAAUGCUGUAAUGCCCGUUAGCGAGAUUUCACGCACUCUCUCUGAUCUGACUCACUGACAGCAGCCUCUAAGAGACUCUAAUGAGAAUGUUUGGUAGGGUUCUGUUUGUGUGUGUGUGUCUGUGUCUAGGUGAGCGCAGUUUCUAUUUGCACCACUCAUAAGCUGUGACAGAAAAUAUUUGAUAAGAUGCAUGCACACAAACACCCACAUAUAUUCCCUUCACACAUUAUUAUUUUCUGACAAAAAUAAAUAAA